This 559-nucleotide ribosomal RNA is filed under the name uncultured Paracoccaceae bacterium. RNAcentral describes it as "bacterial SSU rRNA". It matches the Rfam family "Bacterial small subunit ribosomal RNA", at positions 339 to 916 of the family's 1533-position model. Lineage: Bacteria; Pseudomonadati; Pseudomonadota; Alphaproteobacteria; Rhodobacterales; Paracoccaceae. The record is from RNAcentral.
CUACGGGAGGCAGCAGUGGGGAAUCUUAGACAAUGGGCGCAAGCCUGAUCUAGCCAUGCCGCGUGAGUGACGAAGGCCUUAGGGUCGUAAAGCUCUUUCGCCAGGGAUGAUAAUGACAGUACCUGGUAAAGAAACCCCGGCUAACUCCGUGCCAGCAGCCGCGGUAAUACGGAGGGGGUUAGCGUUGUUCGGAAUUACUGGGCGUAAAGCGCACGUAGGCGGACUGGAAAGUUGGGGGUGAAAUCCCGGGGCUCAACCUCGGAACUGCCUCCAAAACUACUAGUCUAGAGUUCGAGAGAGGUGAGUGGAAUUCCGAGUGUAGAGGUGAAAUUCGUAGAUAUUCGGAGGAACACCAGUGGCGAAGGCGGCUCACUGGCUCGAUACUGACGCUGAGGUGCGAAAGUGUGGGGAGCAAACAGGAUUAGAUACCCUGGUAGUCCACACCGUAAACGAUGAAUGCCAGUCGUCGGCAAGCAUGCUUGUCGGUGACACACCUAACGGAUUAAGCAUUCCGCCUGGGGAGUACGGUCGCAAGAUUAAAACUCAAAGGAAUUGACGG